RNAcentral lists this ribosomal RNA (253 nucleotides) under uncultured bacterium. Its description in RNAcentral is "partial 16S ribosomal RNA". It matches the Rfam family "Bacterial small subunit ribosomal RNA", at positions 524 to 776 of the family's 1533-position model. The record is from RNAcentral.
UACGGAGGGUGCAAGCGUUAUCCGGAUUCACUGGGUUUAAAGGGUGCGUAGGUGGGCAGUUUAGUCAGUGGUGAAAUCUCCGGGCUUAACCCGGAAACUGCCAUUGAUACUAUCUGUCUUGAAUACCGUGGAGGUGAGCGGAAUAUGUCAUGUAGCGGUGAAAUGCUUAGAUAUGACAUAGAACACCAAUUGCGAAGGCAGCUCACUACACGAAUAUUGACACUGAGGCACGAAAGCGUGGGGAGCGAACAGG